RNAcentral lists this long non-coding RNA (2529 nucleotides) under Ooceraea biroi (clonal raider ant). Its description in RNAcentral is "uncharacterized LOC105280444". Lineage: Eukaryota; Metazoa; Arthropoda; Insecta; Hymenoptera; Formicidae. The record is from RNAcentral.
GAAGGUGCCCCGCGCGGGCGAGCGAGCGGGUGCCCCCCUCGAGGCAGCGCAGCGAGCGCAGCCUCGCGGAUCCGCCCGUGCAUAGGCGGCGUGCAUCUUCCCCGCGCCAUCGCGCGAAAGUUCCGCGCGGUGGGACGAAAAACGGUUUGAAAGUUAUACGCGGAAAAAAAUGGAAGCUGCGGAGGCGUAUUUAAACGAAGUAGGCGGCGCCUCCGGCGACGAAUUUCGGAGGCAUCCUUUUUAGCGAGCCGCCAAGGAGAAACGCGUCUAAAUGACUCGUUGAUAAUCUGGGAGAAAUAAAUCGGACACGAAGUAAAUGGAAAAUGCCUAGUGACUGAUGACUUUUUUAUUUAUACGUUCAUACUGAAAAUUGCAUUUGUAUUUGAUCGUCUGAAAGGCAAUUCGAGCCACCUCGGUCGGACGGUGAAUAAUUUCGCGCGCGUAACGUAAAGUGCAUGAUCUAUUGCGCGUUUCGACAGUCAGUCCCGUGGAACUGAAAGUAUCCAGAUACCAAAUGUCAUCGGGAUAUGAGAUAUUACAGGGAACACGGCAGCCGUUCGCACGCGGGAAGCACCGAGCGCGGCGCGCGGAAUGCGAGGCGCGGAUUCUUGACUUCGCUUUUUAAAUUUUCGUGCGGGCUCACAAUGCCGCGCGGUUACGUAAUUGAAAAGCGUAGGAAGCACGCGGAUCGAUUAGCACACGAGAGGAGAAAGGUUGCGACCAUACGGAUAUCGGCGGUGGCUCUAUGCGAAUUGCGCGCGCGCGCGCGCGCGCGCUGAGCGGAGUCGCGCGGCGAGACCACGUGGGUGUCAUCACACGCGCGUGAAAAAAAACCCCCCGAGAGAUUAUAGACACGCGCUGUACUCUCUCUCUAACGCCUAGAGCAGUGAUUCUCAAAGGGCGCGUCUUGCGAACCUCGACGUCGCAGCGUCGCGAAACGGUCCGCGUUUAGUCCCUCGUGGACGCAAACCCUCGUCGCGCGGCGGGAAGGACAGGCACGACGUCCGCGAGGUAUCCCGCGAAAUAAUCCGCGCCUUCGGUUCGGGUGCACCGCGACUCUCCUCGCAGCGGACGAUAGUGCGCCGCGAGCGAAAAAAGUUUGAGAACCGUCGGCCUAAAGUGCAGGGGAGUGUAGGCACACCGCAAUAUCGCCAAGGGACGGUGCAUAAAGGAUCCCGAUAGCAAUGACUAUAAAUUCGCUCUAAGCGCGGGUCUAAAUAUAAACUACAACGUACGAGCGGCUCCAUGUUCCUCCCUAAGCAUAAAAAUCGCAUAUUUAUCCGAUUAUUAUUGGUAUCGCGCGGUCGCGAUCAUACGCUUUAUAUUCCGUCCGAUCUUGCGUCAACACAGCGCACCUGUCUCGCUUUAACGCUUCGUUAACGCCGGACGCUUCGUUGCGUCGAACUUCAUCCCGCGAAAAGUAAGCACGUAAAGAGAAUCCGUUAAUUAUUCGGUGCGCGUAAAAUCAUGCAUCGCAGAUUAACAUAAACAUACGAGGUUUUUUCAAGCACAUCGCUUUCGCGCAUAAACGAUCGCUUUUUCGCAACGAGUUACAUAAAUUUGACUAAAAACGAGACACGCGGCGUAAUAAUUAACGGCGUGUGUAAUGCAGACUCGAAAAAAAAAAAAAAAAACGAUUAAGCCGAAAAUGCGCAGUUCGCGUAGAAAUGCACUCGCGUAAAACUUGGAACACGUGCGUGUGUGAGUUUGCCUGGCGUAGCGGCCGAUACGCUAUAGUGAAUGUAAAACCGAGCGUAAAAACUGAAUAUUUAAAAGAUUAUAAACCAAGCCGAGGGAGGAUGCGGGGAGCAGUACCGCGCUAACUCGCUCAACCUGCAUACUGGCUGCCCUUUCGAUAAUACGAUUGAUCGCAAUCUCGAUGACGUGGCUAUCUCGUGCUAUGAUGCAGUUGUAAACGCGAAAACACUUUUGUAAAAAGUUCCUUGCAUUAAUUUCUCAUGCGAAUAACUUGGUAAACAAGCGGGCAAUUUGUAUUUCGAUUCGAGGAGUGCGAUGUUACACGUACGUACGAAUGUUUUAUGGAUUAUGAUGGCAGGAGAGGAGAUCAUUCUUCCUGAGAAUAUAAAAUAAGUUCUGCACGAGUGAACAAAAAUUAUUUUAUAUUUUCCAUUCGUUUACCGCGGGAUGCUUUCGCCUUUGGAACCACUUUUCCGGUGUUGUACACCAGUAUCCUAUUUUAUUUUAUUCUUUUUUAAAGAAUACAUAAAAAUGAGGAAGCAACAAUAAGCAGAAGAAAGCGACACGUCUGAAGAACCGUAAACCGUAAAGCAAACAGUGAAAAACAUUAUGCUCAGACAGCCGUCACUCACCUGAACGUUGAUUUAAAUCCGUUUCAUACAACAUUGUCAACUAAACGUAUCUGUCUCAUUGUGUUGAGUGACGUCCAUGACAAGUUUGAAUUUCGAGAAAUCAAUAGAACACACACAUACAUGGCAGUAUCUUUAAUAGUAAACCAAAAAGAGUCGAGAAAAAAGAAACUUAUUGUAUUUUAGAAAGAAUCCCUAAAAA